Molecule: long non-coding RNA, 290 nt
Organism: Panicum hallii
Lineage: Eukaryota; Viridiplantae; Streptophyta; Magnoliopsida; Poales; Poaceae
Exons: 3
Source: RefSeq, a predicted model, not a curated record
UUUAGGACUUCUGGAGCUGAAAGUAUGCAUGCACGCUCAAUAGCAGAAUGCACACAGCCAUGGAUGAACUGAAUCGAAAAAGACUACGUCUCGCCUCUUCUUGUUGUUCAGUGGAUCAGCACCAGCUGUCCCUUUCCUCAUCAUCGCCACAAACUCUGAAUAAUCUAUCCUUCCAUCCUACAUGUGCAAAAAGUCGGCAUCUGAAAUGACCUCUUUGAUUUUAUCGGCAUCAUACAACCCUUGCUCCUUCAAGGCGUGCUCAAGCUCCUCUCUUGUAAUGUACCUGUGAG